ACGAACGCUGGCGGCGUGCCUAAUACAUGCACGUAGAACGCUGAAGAGAGGAGCUUGCUCUUCUUGGAUGAGUUGCGAACGGGUGAGUAACGCGUAGGUAACCUGCCUUGUAGCGGGGGAUAACUAUUGGAAACGAUAGCUAAUACCGCAUAACAAUGGAUGACACAUGUCAUUUAUUUGAAAGGGGCAAUUGCUCCACUACAAGAUGGACCUGCGUUGUAUUAGCUAGUAGGUGAGGUAACGGCUCACCUAGGCGACGAUACAUAGCCGACCUGAGAGGGUGAUCGGCCACACUGGGACUGAGACACGGCCCAGACUCCUACGGGAGGCAGCAGUAGGGAAUCUUCGGCAAUGGGGGCAACCCUGACCGAGCAACGCCGCGUGAGUGAAGAAGGUUUUCGGAUCGUAAAGCUCUGUUGUAAGUCAAGAACGAGUGUGAGAGUGGAAAGUUCACACUGUGACGGUAGCUUACCAGAAAGGGACGGCUAACUACGUG
RNAcentral lists this ribosomal RNA (496 nucleotides) under uncultured bacterium. Its description in RNAcentral is "partial 16S ribosomal RNA". It matches the Rfam family "Bacterial small subunit ribosomal RNA", at positions 29 to 507 of the family's 1533-position model. The record is from RNAcentral.